CGCCUCAGCAUUGUACCCAGAGUCUGCCCUACAGACAUUGCACCUGGAGCUGUGGGGCGAAAAUAAAAUGUUGGA
Molecule: non-coding RNA, 75 nt
Organism: Monodelphis domestica (gray short-tailed opossum)
Lineage: Eukaryota; Metazoa; Chordata; Mammalia; Didelphimorphia; Didelphidae
Source: Rfam